UGAGCAUUCCUAGAGCAUGGUCAUUCUGGCAUAAAAGAAGAUUUCUAGGACCUCUACAGGGAGCAUCGUGCAGUCGCAAAAGGAUGGUAGUGCAGAGACUUCUGCAAGUGAGACUGAAGGGAGCUGGAACCAGGGGGAUUUCCCAAAAAGAACAAGGAGAUCAGAUGUUGAUGGUUUCUAUUAAUCUUAGUGGAAAAAAAAACAAAACAACCAAACUAGUCAAUGAACCAACCAACCACCACCACCACCAACAAAAUCAAACAAUAACGAAGAACGCACAGAAAUACAGUCAAACAACAACAACAACAAAAAACAACGCAGUAAGUCCAAAGAGCAAUUCAUUUUUUUUCCACUGACUGUGGAGAGGUUGCAAAUUACCAACAUAGAUGCAACAACUAGCUUAUACAUACCAAAAAUUAGCCAGGGAAUUUGGUUCUAAAUACUUGACUUCGAAAAUG
This 458-nucleotide long non-coding RNA is filed under the name Numida meleagris (helmeted guineafowl). RNAcentral describes it as "lncRNA (ENSNMEG00000018384.1)". Lineage: Eukaryota; Metazoa; Chordata; Aves; Galliformes; Numididae. The record is from RNAcentral.